Molecule: ribosomal RNA, 201 nt
Filed under: uncultured bacterium
Lineage: Bacteria
Description: partial 16S ribosomal RNA
Rfam family: Bacterial small subunit ribosomal RNA
Source: RNAcentral
ACGCUCGACACCUACGGGAGGCAGCAGUGGGGAAUAUUGGGCAAUGGGCGCAAGCCUGACCCAGCAACGCCGCGUGAGUGAUGAAGGUCUUCGGAUUGUAAAACUCUUUAAGCAGGGAAGAAGAAAGUGACGGUACCUGCAGAAUAAGCAUCGGCUAACUACGUGCCCGCAGCCGCGGUAAUCUGAGCGGGCUGGCAAGGC